UAGAUACCCUGGUAGUCCACACUGUAAACGAUGAAUGCUAGGUGUAGGUGGUAUCGACCCCAUCUGUGCCGUCGUAAACACAAUAAGCAUUCCGCCUGGGGAGUACGGUCGCAAGAUUAAAACUCAAAGGAAUUGACGGGGGCCCGCACAAGCAGCGGAGCAUGUGGUUUAAUUCGAAGCAACGCGAAGAACCUUACCAGGUCUUGACAUCCGCUUUAGGCAUAUAGAGAUAUAUGUGGAACUUCGGUUC
RNAcentral lists this ribosomal RNA (250 nucleotides) under uncultured bacterium. RNAcentral's name for it is "partial 16S ribosomal RNA". It matches the Rfam family "Bacterial small subunit ribosomal RNA", at positions 779 to 1026 of the family's 1533-position model. The record is from RNAcentral.